Molecule: long non-coding RNA, 805 nt
Organism: Aphis gossypii (cotton aphid)
Lineage: Eukaryota; Metazoa; Arthropoda; Insecta; Hemiptera; Aphididae
Exons: 3
Source: RefSeq, a predicted model, not a curated record
GGAACGAGCGAAUGUUAAUAAUAAUAAUACGGCCGACGCGGUUGUGGCGGCGGUGUAUCCACUAUCCAUUACCGCCGACGGUAAACAGUCUUUAUUGUGCGGCGUGCGACCUGCCGAGAAUUUACAAUGUUCGCCAAAUAGCUCCAGCAGCGGUCGAACGCGAGAAACAUACCUAUACUCUGUUCAUCGGCGAUAAUGGACUAGACGAAAAGCUUAACAAAAUCGUGCCUACCGUUUUAUUUUCGUACGACUGCAGGGCGGUUGUAGACAAAAAAUACGAUAGCGCAGCAGUCUGCUGCAGAGACAAAACAAACCUGAAAUAACCAUUAAUACGAUUUACAAUUAGAGCUAAUAUUAAGUUAUUGAUUUGGGCUAUUAUGAGAAACCAAAAACAAGCUCUACUCAAAGACCGCAGACGUUUCGCCACUGUAUUAUAGCUAUAGUGCGUGGGCAAUAUUAUGUUAUAUCAAAGUAACCGCGUUAAGUUACCAAAAGUAAAUAUCGUCAAUAGUCCUGUAUGCCACGGCAUCGAAUCAAAGACAAUAAGAACAAAAGAACCAAGCAAGAUUUGCAACGCUGUAUAAGCUAUAAAUAAAUAAUAGCAUCAAAUACAAGUAAACAUUGUCAAAUGUACGAACUUUCAAACCAAAGAUAAUUGCGCAUAAAAAAAAAAUUAAAAUAAACGAUGACAUUGAAAACGAACUCGUUGCAACGUUCUGUGAAUAUUUAUAAUAAUACUAUGCUAUAUAUUAGUGAAACUGCAGGGGUGCGAUAAUAAUGAAAAACAUUUAGGUGAAAUUUUUAU